RNAcentral lists this ribosomal RNA (230 nucleotides) under uncultured bacterium. RNAcentral describes it as "partial 16S ribosomal RNA". It matches the Rfam family "Bacterial small subunit ribosomal RNA", at positions 568 to 796 of the family's 1533-position model. The record is from RNAcentral.
AGCGCAGGCGGUUUUAUAAGUCAGAGGUGAAAUUCCCACGCUCAACGUGGUGAUCUGCCUUUGAUACUGUUUUACUUGAGUGUUGGAGAGGGUAACGGAAUUCCAGGUGUAGCGGUGGAAUGCGUAGAUAUCUGGAAGAACACCAGUUGCGAAGGCGGUUGCCUGGCCAAACACUGACGCUCAUGCUCGAAAGCUGGGGGAGCAAACAGGAUUAGAUACCCUGGUAGUCC